Molecule: ribosomal RNA, 253 nt
Filed under: uncultured bacterium
Lineage: Bacteria
Description: partial 16S ribosomal RNA
Rfam family: Bacterial small subunit ribosomal RNA
Source: RNAcentral
UACGGAGGGUGCAAGCGUUAUCCGGAUUCACUGGGUUUAAAGGGAGCGUAGGUGGGCUGGUAAGUCAGUGGUGAAAUCUUUGGGCUUAACCCGAAAACUGCCAUUGAUACUAUUUGUCUUGAAUAUUCUGGAGGUAAGCGGAAUAUGUCAUGUAGCGGUGAAAUGCUUAGAUAUGACAUAGAACACCCAUUGCGAAGGCAGCUUACUACGGAACUAUUGACACUGAGGCUCGAAAGCGUGGGGAUCAAACAGG